Non-coding RNA from Salmo salar (Atlantic salmon), 54 nucleotides. Lineage: Eukaryota; Metazoa; Chordata; Actinopteri; Salmoniformes; Salmonidae. The record is from Rfam.
UCAACUCACUACUGUAAGUCUCUCUGGAUAAGAGUGUCUGCUAAAUGACUAAAA